Molecule: long non-coding RNA, 472 nt
Organism: Canis lupus familiaris (dog)
Lineage: Eukaryota; Metazoa; Chordata; Mammalia; Carnivora; Canidae
Exons: 3
Source: RefSeq, a predicted model, not a curated record
CCCCCCGCGGGGGACCCCCGCCCCCGCCCCCCGCAGCCUCACCUGCUCAGGGCCAGGUUUUAUUUAUGCAGGGAGCCCCCUGCGGGACCCACCGCUGAGCUGCCCAGAUGCCCCAUGACCAACCUUUCUAGGCCUCCGUUUCCAACUCCGGAAAAUAGGGAUGGUCAAGUCCAAUUUGCCAACAUAUAGCGUAACACCCGUGGCAUCUUAGACUCAGCAGCAAGCGGUUCUUCCACAUUGGCCUCACAGGUUUCAGAUCCCCCACCUCUCCAGCCUCCACUUACAGACUCUACAACUCUCAGCUGCAGAGGUGGGUGCUGCAUUUUGCCCUUCUCCGCCUCUAGCCAGGUGUCUGCCAAACUAAACGCUCAAUACAGAACAUGUUUCUUAAGAAAAAAAAAUGGAGGAAGAGAGGGAAGGAGACACACCGAUUUUGUGAGCCAAGCUAUGGAAAUUAAAGACUUAAAAAACA